Molecule: ribosomal RNA, 258 nt
Filed under: uncultured bacterium
Lineage: Bacteria
Description: partial 16S ribosomal RNA
Rfam family: Bacterial small subunit ribosomal RNA
Source: RNAcentral
UGGCGGACGGGUGAGUAACGCGUGGGUAACCUGCCUUGCACUGGGGGAUAACACUUAGAAAUAGGUGCUAAUACCGCAUAAGCGCACGGUCCUGCAUGGGACAGUGUGAAAAACUCCGGUGGUGCAAGAUGGACCCGCGUCUGAUUAGCUGGUUGGCGGGGUAAAGGCCCACCAAGGCGACGAUCAGUAGCCGGCCUGAGAGGGUGGACGGCCACAUUGGGACUGAGACACGGCCCAAACUCCUACGGAAGGCAGCAG